UUUUUUUUUUUUUUUUUUCCUUGAUUUUUUAACAUCUUUAUUGGUCUUGGAUUAGUUAACCCUCUAAAUUCCAGAGGGUAAAGUUCAACUUUACCAAUUUAUUUUUUAACCAAAAUAAUUUAAACUUUGCCCUUUUAAUUGUUCGUGUUAUUUGCCAUAGAAUCGAUACUUUUGUAGAGCUACUAAGAAAAUUGUAUUUUCUGCGCAGUUGAUACAAAAUUCUCCUUUGUUUUAGGGUUACCGGCAGUUUAUUUUCGUUGGUUGGAAUCUGAUGGAUAACAAUAACUGGAGGCCUAAUGCCCAAGGUGGCGACCCUGGAAUUGACACCGGUGAUUGGAGAGC
Molecule: unclassified non-coding RNA, 342 nt
Filed under: Hevea brasiliensis (rubber tree)
Lineage: Eukaryota; Viridiplantae; Streptophyta; Magnoliopsida; Malpighiales; Euphorbiaceae
Source: RNAcentral